Long non-coding RNA from Peromyscus leucopus (white-footed mouse), 3152 nucleotides. RefSeq lists it as uncharacterized. NCBI's taxonomy places the organism in Eukaryota, Metazoa, Chordata, Mammalia, Rodentia, Cricetidae. The record is from RefSeq and is a predicted model, not a curated record. The transcript has 3 exons.
CUCACUAGGCUGGAGACCCCACCCUAGGGCUGCCGCAGCGCCUCCUGGGAGAUGCAAUUCCCACGCGUGCUCCCAGAGGCCUGUGCGCGAGCAGGUGCCAACGGUGCCAACGACGCCAACGGUGCCGAGGGAGCGGCCCGUGUCCUGCUGAACCGCCGAGGGAUCAGGCUAGCCCCGAGGCGGGACACGCAGCACCGCGUCCCCUGGCCACCGUAGCAGUGGUUUACCCUUGGAUCUGAGCUGCCACUCACUGGGCAGCGCCUUAGCUGCUGUAUUCACCAUAUGGAGGGAGGCGGUGGACAUCCUGCCCAGAGAAGCAGGACCCCCACAGGAGCGUGCCCACCCCCACCAAGCUAAGGAUGUGGUGGGCACUUGAAAUCUGAGACUUCCAGAAGAUCCUAGCCACCAGCUGGUACCUCGCACAGAAACCCCCGCAGGUCCUGCCAGCACCGGACCUUUGCUCUUUCUCCUGUAGCUUUGCUCAGGAGAUGGCUCAAGACCCAUCUGCACCAGAACCCUGGUCCCUGGGAGCUCUUUUGGAGGCCUGGCUGUCCCUGGGCUCUGCAAGAGCAGACAAGAUGUGGGUCUUGUUGGGCCCCGGUCAGUCCUGACCCGGGAGGAGAAGACUGGAGUCUGUAUAUCCUACUCAGAGAUGCUGUGAACAAAUCACUGGAGAUAGCCUGUGUCCCCUUAUUACCAGGAAGGAGUUUCAGCAGGAAAUUCAGCCUCGCCCUGGGGGCCACAGCCUCUGCCUGAUGAAUGUAAUUUCAAAGGGGAUGAUACUUCCCAAGCAUCAGUGUGUCAGACACAAGGCCAGGACAGAGAGUUAAUAAGCAUGGUGAGAGUGGAGAAAAAGCUGAGAUGUCCUCCAACAGGCAGGCCCUGGGGAAGGCUGCCUGAAGGAGGUAGCCCAGGAACCCUGCAGGACAUGGAGGACUGAGGACUGGGGUUUGCCUUUCAGAACCCAGUGGUCUGAUUUCCACAGAAAAUUCCUAUAGUAAUUGGAUCUCUGAGAUCCCCCAACAUGGGAGGGAAAUGGGGAUGUGGGAAGGGUAGCAUAAAGCUUCUCCUUGGAGGAUGUUGGGCUGUACCAGUAGGGCUCAGCUAAGAUGUCUUCUGUGGUCCCACUGGCUUGCCUCUCCUCCUUUCCCGCUGGGUGCAGAGACUGUGCAUGCUGCACCUUGAUCCUGUAAGGCUUCCUGGUAGCAGCUUCCUCAGAACUGGAGGGGUAGGCAGACUCCAUCCCAUCCAGCCAUACUCCCUGCUGUCUCUUGGUGGGGGUGCCAGGGGCAGUACCAAAGCAAAGGUGGGGUGUGGUGCUUGUAUCCCCUCAGGGGUUCACUCUGUGUAAGAAAAUCGGCCAGCAAUGUCUGUUGCUGUGUAACAAACUACCCCACAAUUUAGCAGCUUAAGCAUAUUACAGGUUCAGUGGUUUAGGAAUCCAAGUGGUUAGUGGUAUCUCUCUCUGCCUGGUAGUGUCUCACAGGCCACAGCUGUGUGUGCUCAGGCUGUGGUCUCAUGUGAAAGCCCAGCCGAGAGGAGAUGCUGUCACAUAUGGUACAGUUGGCAAGAUUCAGUUCCUCUCUAACAAAAUGAAUGCCAAAGGGCCUCAUUUUCUGCUUUUUGGCUGGAGGUCUCACUUAGCUCUUAGCAUGGGCCUAUCCACAGUGCACCUCCCAGUGUGAGAGGUGCCUCCCACCUGACCAAAGCACGAGGGAGCAAAUGAGGAAGUUUCCUCUUUAUCAUCCAUCUGACUUCAUAAAGGAAAUUCUGGGAUAUUUUGCUCUUUGUAGGAGUUCAAGCUCAUAUUUAAAAAGGGAGCAGGUCUAUACUGGGGUACAUAUACCAGGAAGGGAGACGUUGAGGGCCACCUCAUGGUUCAUCUCCACAACUCUUAUAGUGUCCUCAACUGUCUUGGACACAAUACUGUGUUCAGUAUCCUGUGUACUCGUGUCUGACCUUUUAAACAAAGUCCUGUUACAUCCUGGUAUAUGCAUAUGGAAGCAGGCACAUGCUUGUUAGAGCCGUCUCUGCUCUCUGUUGACCCUUUACCAGGGCAGCUAAUUUCCUUGAAUUUCCCUGUCUGGGUGACAUAGAGCUUCUAAAGUUGGGUUGCUAGGCUGUCCCUCAAGGAAGAAGCUUGGGCCCUCAGUUGAUACUUCAGAGGUCCUUUAGGAAUAGACUGGGAGAAAUGACGGAUGAGCAUGGGGAGAAGUCAGCCUUGGUGCCCUUGUCUGUAUCCACAGGGGCCAUACAGAUAAGGCUUGAGCACAGCAGAGCCCAUAUCUGGGUAGAGCACCUUUCAGCCCUCCUAGACAAGGUCAGGUACUCUCACCUCCCUGUGGUCCCUCAAGGUUCUCUAAGACUUUGAUGAGCCAUCGGUUCUGCAGCACGGUGUUCCAACAUACCAUGGCAAUCUCUGAUGUUUCCCGCCUCCAGGUUCAUACAGAGCUGGCACCCUUGGCUGUUUGCCUAUAUAAGUAAUAAACCUCAAUCUAUGAAGGACUGUUUGUACUGGGAUGGAACCUGGGUUGUUACAAAUGAGAAACAGUAUCCACUGUCACCUGGUUACACCGCUACCCUGGGCUGAUAUCUCUAUAGUGAAUCUCAGCUCCCACCUUGCCCUGUGCUUGCUAAAAUGAAAAACUGGAGCAUAAGACCUUCUGUACCUCCUCUUGCUCAGUGUAAAAUUCCUUUCUGCCUUUGUCCCCCUGCUCUUCUGAAUAUUUGAACCAGAAUCACUCUGGCCAUCCAUAGACUCACGUGGGACCUGGCCAGCUCCCCAAUAGGCCAGCAUGUGAAGAUGACAAUGGAACUGUCUUUGUUCCGCAUGCGUACAACAAAGUUGACAUUACCUGUAUGUAUACAGAAUGUACCAUUCUGUGCAAGGCCUCGCCACUCCACAUAGGUCAACCUGAGCACUGGAAAACACAGUAGAAGUGUAAAAUAGAACAGCUAUUGUGGGGAAUUCAGCGGUUUCUCAGUACACAGAAUUACCAUGUGACCUGUGUGGCAAUCCUAGGCAUAUGAGAGCUGUAGCAAUGCAACAGCUGUGUCCACAAGCAGAACUGACAGCAUCCCAAAGGUGGGAGCAACUUGAGUGUGAACUCUCAACAGGUGAACCCUCAAAAUAAAAAGAUACAAGCCAACAU